GGGGUUGUGCUCAGUGGUAGAGAGCGCGCCUCGCACAUGUGAGAACCUGGGUUCAAUCCUCAGCACCACA
RNAcentral lists this transfer RNA (70 nucleotides) under Marmota monax (woodchuck). RNAcentral describes it as "tRNA.Ala". The record is from RNAcentral. Lineage: Eukaryota; Metazoa; Chordata; Mammalia; Rodentia; Sciuridae.